UUCUAGGGAUGCCUCUGGUGGCUUUGACACCAGGAACCUCUGACAUAUCCUGCACCUGGGAUGCCACCUGGGUGUCAGGGGGUAGGAGGGGAGGGUGGCUUUUCUUGGUAAUGGACCUUCUCUCUUCAGCCCUUUGGGAUGCCUUUUAACCCACUGGAAACAAUUCAGAUAACAAGAUUUAAGGGGAAAAAACAUGGCAUCUGCUCAUCUGAGCUGACAAGUUUUAGAGCCAGGAACCUUCUCUCUGCCUUCUGGCAGCACCUCACUGCCUCUGCCUUCCCCUCCCCCUCCUGUUUCUGUACCACCUUGGGUGCCACCUGCAUAACUGGUUUCUGAGCCCAUCCUCCUUGCUCCAACACCCUUGCUUCUACUCCUCCCCUUGCUGUCAAGGAGUCAAGAGCACCCCCUGGUCUUACCACCACCCACUUCAGAUGAGAUCGGGCGCGUUCAGGGUGGUAUGGCUGUAGACCCACAACCCACUUCAGAAUUCGCCACCGGUGCCCCAGGACACCGUUGGAAACAUUGGUUAUUUUAUUAAGGCUUUAACUGGAAUGUCCUAUUUGAGAGACAUGCAUAGACUCAGAUGUGACCAAACAGCUUUAAGACCUAGGGUUGACUUUAUGAAGCCUGAAGCCAAUACAGCCCCUUGGAAACGUUGGCCUGAUACCUUGCUUACAGAGUUCCCAGCAGCCUUACCAGACUCCUUCAUUGCCGUAACUUCAGCUAACAGAUGAUCCUUUCUACUCAAGCAGGUUCAUAUGUUGUCUACCUUGGAUUGGUGGCCUCUGCCUCUGCACUACUGCCGUGACCUUAGUUCAGCCUUCUAUCAAACCGUGCUACUGUCCCCAAAUAACCACAAAACCUCAAUUUGCUCUUCCAGAUGCCUGAAAUACUACAGGAC
Molecule: long non-coding RNA, 901 nt
Organism: Canis lupus familiaris (dog)
Lineage: Eukaryota; Metazoa; Chordata; Mammalia; Carnivora; Canidae
Exons: 4
Source: RefSeq, a predicted model, not a curated record